CAGAGACACUCGAACCUGACUGAUCGCAGCAUGGCGGCCAACAUGCACCAGCCACCGAAGCCAUACCUGAGAAGACGACACAUUCACUACCUCCAGCUGUUCCACUUUACGUGGUCCUGAGACAGAAAAGGAGAAGAAGAGCCUGCGCAGCUGUAGUUCCCCCUCCUAUCACUCCAACAGACACCUCGGUUCCCGCACGGCUGCAGUACACAUGGGUUCUCCACUAGACGGCAACAGAGGAUCAAUCGAGACCUUGCAUUUGAAUUACCCUAUCUGACAAAGGUACAGAACUAAGGUGGUUCCUCCUGUAGCCUCGGCAUACACCUCCAUUCAAGCAGGGAUUUGGCUCACAUCCAUCCUGUUCUGCAGAACAAACACACAUCUGUAUCAUAAGAUGGGAAAUCCUUCAUUCUGAGAGGUGGGCUGUUUGUAGGAGAUAGGUAUGAAGUGUUUUGUGUCUCAAAACAGAUUUACUGUAAGUCAGAAUCAAGGGGAAAGCAAAUUAUGCCGAAUGACAAAAACAGGAAACAAACUGGAAAAUGAGUUGGGAAUCAAAGCUCAACAAAAGCAGGUUUGUUUUUCUUUCUAUAGUUACCAUAUUGUAGCACAUCUUUAUGUAAGUUCUGGAGUUAGCAAGUAUGAUUUGUUAUGUUCAAAAAGGCCCUGUCUGCUUUCUUGUAGAUGCUUCAUAAAUCCUUGCCAAAUUAAAGUCUAUAAAAAGUA
Molecule: long non-coding RNA, 723 nt
Organism: Ctenopharyngodon idella (grass carp)
Lineage: Eukaryota; Metazoa; Chordata; Actinopteri; Cypriniformes; Xenocyprididae
Exons: 3
Source: RefSeq, a predicted model, not a curated record